This 2777-nucleotide ribosomal RNA is filed under the name Salmonella enterica subsp. enterica serovar Typhimurium. Its description in RNAcentral is "bacterial LSU rRNA". It matches the Rfam family "Bacterial large subunit ribosomal RNA". Lineage: Bacteria; Pseudomonadati; Pseudomonadota; Gammaproteobacteria; Enterobacterales; Enterobacteriaceae. The record is from RNAcentral.
AGCGUACACGGUGGAUGCCCUGGCAGUCAGAGGCGAUGAAGGACGUGCUAAUCUGCGAUAAGCGCCGGUAAGGUGAUAUGAACCGUUAUAACCGGCGAUUUCCGAAUGGGGAAACCCAGUGUGAUUCGUCACACUAUCAUUAACUGAAUCCAUAGGUUAAUGAGGCGAACCGGGGGAACUGAAACAUCUAAGUACCCCGAGGAAAAGAAAUCAACCGAGAUUCCCCCAGUAGCGGCGAGCGAACGGGGAGGAGCCCAGAGCCUGAAUCAGCAUGUGUGUUAGUGGAAGCGUCUGGAAAGGCGCGCGAUACAGGGUGACAGCCCCGUACACAAAAGCGCAUGUGCUGUGAGCUCGAUGAGUAGGGCGGGACACGUGGUAUCCUGUCUGAAUAUGGGGGGACCAUCCUCCAAGGCUAAAUACUCCUGACUGACCGAUAGUGAACCAGUACCGUGAGGGAAAGGCGAAAAGAACCCCGGCGAGGGGAGUGAAAAAGAACCUGAAACCGUGUACGUACAAGCAGUGGGAGCACAGGUUUACCUGUGUGACUGCGUACCUUUUGUAUAAUGGGUCAGCGACUUAUAUUCUGUAGCAAGGUUAACCGUAUAGGGGAGCCGUAGGGAAACCGAGUCUUAACCGGGCGUUAAGUUGCAGGGUAUAGACCCGAAACCCGGUGAUCUAGCCAUGGGCAGGUUGAAGGUUGGGUAACACUAACUGGAGGACCGAACCGACUAAUGUUGAAAAAUUAGCGGAUGACCUGUGGCUGGGGGUGAAAGGCCAAUCAAACCGGGAGAUAGCUGGUUCUCCCCGAAAGCUAUUUAGGUAGCGCCUCGUGAAUUCAUCUCCGGGGGUAGAGCACUGUUUCGGCUAGGGGGCCAUCCCGGCUUACCAACCCGAUGCAAACUGCGAAUACCGGAGAAUGUUAUCACGGGAGACACACGGCGGGUGCUAACGUCCGUCGUGAAGAGGGAAACAACCCAGACCGCCAGCUAAGGUCCCAAAGUCAUGGUUAAGUGGGAAACGAUGUGGGAAGGCCCAGACAGCCAGGAUGUUGGCUUAGAAGCAGCCAUCAUUUAAAGAAAGCGUAAUAGCUCACUGGUCGAGUCGGCCUGCGCGGAAGAUGUAACGGGGCUAAACCAUGCACCGAAGCUGCGGCAGCGACGCUGAUGCGUUGUUGGGUAGGGGAGCGUUCUGUAAGCCUGUGAAGGUGUGUCGUGAGGCAUGCUGGAGGUAUCAGAAGUGCGAAUGCUGACAUAAGUAACGAUAAAGCGGGUGAAAAGCCCGCUCGCCGGAAGACCAAGGGUUCCUGUCCAACGUUAAUCGGGGCAGGGUGAGUCGACCCCUAAGGCGAGGCCGAAAGGCGUAGUCGAUGGGAAACGGGUUAAUAUUCCCGUACUUGGUGUUACUGCGAAGGGGGGACGGAGAAGGCUAUGUUGGCCGGGCGACGGUUGUCCCGGUUUAAGCGUGUAGGUGUGUGUUCCAGGUAAAUCCGGUUCACUUUAACACUGAGGCGUGACGACGAGGCACUACGGUGCUGAAGCAACAAAUGCCCUGCUUCCAGGAAAAGCCUCUAAGCAUCAGGUAACACGAAAUCGUACCCCAAACCGACACAGGUGGUCAGGUAGAGAAUACCAAGGCGCUUGAGAGAACUCGGGUGAAGGAACUAGGCAAAAUGGUGCCGUAACUUCGGGAGAAGGCACGCUGACACGUAGGUGAAGUGAUUUACUCAUGGAGCUGAAGUCAGUCGAAGAUACCAGCUGGCUGCAACUGUUUAUUAAAAACACAGCACUGUGCAAACACGAAAGUGGACGUAUACGGUGUGACGCCUGCCCGGUGCCGGAAGGUUAAUUGAUGGGGUCAGCGCAAGCGAAGCUCCUGAUCGAAGCCCCGGUAAACGGCGGCCGUAACUAUAACGGUCCUAAGGUAGCGAAAUUCCUUGUCGGGUAAGUUCCGACCUGCACGAAUGGCGUAAUGAUGGCCAGGCUGUCUCCACCCGAGACUCAGUGAAAUUGAACUCGCUGUGAAGAUGCAGUGUACCCGCGGCAAGACGGAAAGACCCCGUGAACCUUUACUAUAGCUUGACACUGAACAUUGAGCCUUGAUGUGUAGGAUAGGUGGGAGGCUUUGAAGUGUGGACGCCAGUCUGCAUGGAGCCGACCUUGAAAUACCACCCUUUAAUGUUUGAUGUUCUAACGUGGACCCGUAAUCCGGGUUGCGGACAGUGUCUGGUGGGUAGUUUGACUGGGGCGGUCUCCUCCUAAAGAGUAACGGAGGAGCACGAAGGUUGGCUAAUCCUGGUCGGACAUCAGGAGGUUAGUGCAAUGGCAUAAGCCAGCUUGACUGCGAGCGUGACGGCGCGAGCAGGUGCGAAAGCAGGUCAUAGUGAUCCGGUGGUUCUGAAUGGAAGGGCCAUCGCUCAACGGAUAAAAGGUACUCCGGGGAUAACAGGCUGAUACCGCCCAAGAGUUCAUAUCGACGGCGGUGUUUGGCACCUCGAUGUCGGCUCAUCACAUCCUGGGGCUGAAGUAGGUCCCAAGGGUAUGGCUGUUCGCCAUUUAAAGUGGUACGCGAGCUGGGUUUAGAACGUCGUGAGACAGUUCGGUCCCUAUCUGCCGUGGGCGCUGGAGAACUGAGGGGGGCUGCUCCUAGUACGAGAGGACCGGAGUGGACGCAUCACUGGUGUUCGGGUUGUCAUGCCAAUGGCACUGCCCGGUAGCUAAAUGCGGAAGAGAUAAGUGCUGAAAGCAUCUAAGCACGAAACUUGCCCCGAGAUGAGUUCU